CGGCCGAGGAAGGGCAGAACCUCUUCAUCAGGGUUCGACGCCAAACAAACAGGUUCCUACAUUUUCUCAUGGCCGUGGACGUGAAGAUGGGGCCACCACUACUUUUUCUCUUGGUAGAGGUCGUGCUCUCUCUGGAGUGAGCCCCGUGAAUAAAGGCUCUCCUCAUUUGCAGUCAUUUGGGUCAUUCUCAGAGAAAGCUGAAAGCGUGUGCUCUCCUUUACGAUAUAGCCGGAUAAAUUCGUGCUCUCGCUGGAGUGAGCCCCAUGAAUAAAGGCUCUCCUCAUUUGCAGCCAUUUGGGUCAUUCUCAGAGAAAGCUGAAAGUGUGUCCUCUCCUUUACGAUAUAGCCGGAUAAAAAUGCUUGAUGUGUAUAGAGUGAUAGACAUGCGGUCUUGUAGCAAGUUUUCAGAUGGGAUUGUGCAAGUUCCUUCACUUACACAAGACGAACCUCUGGAACCUCUCGCAUUAUGUGCACCCAGUCUUGAGGAAUUGGUAACAUGCAGAGAGAUUUGAAUAUAUUUACUUAGUAUAACGAUUUUAUUCUGAUUUUAGUUUGUUUGGAUGAAGUC
RNAcentral lists this long non-coding RNA (568 nucleotides) under Nicotiana benthamiana. RNAcentral's name for it is "long non-coding RNA (NBEN_LNC034365)". The record is from RNAcentral. Lineage: Eukaryota; Viridiplantae; Streptophyta; Magnoliopsida; Solanales; Solanaceae.